UACGCAAAUAUCUCUUCAGAUAAUGAUUCUGACAGUAAGCUUUAUAAAGACUUGAAUAUGUUUUAUUACAGUGAAGCAAGCAUAUAAAACCAUUGUAAUCCACGGUCCAUGAUCUCUGGGCCAGCUUAUCCCCUCACAGCCCGGCUACAGUCGCAGGCCGCAGCUUUUACAUACCGGCCCAGGUUAGCGUUUGUCACUCCCCACUUCGCUGAACCAGAGGAAGCAGAUGCAGAACCGUCUGCUUCAGCAUUCUCCUCCUCCAUGCUUGCGCGCGGCGGCGUAGCUAGUCCAGGGCCAGAGGAAAGCUCCGCAGCAAGCGCGUAGCAGCAGGGAGGGAGAGCGCGCCGCGCCUGUCCGCUGCUUGAGCGGGUGCCACGAGGGGAAGAGGUAUGGUGCUCCUUGCUUCUUAGGCCCCAACUCAAAUUUGUUGGUUGUACUGCACGAACUUGCUGUUGCAGGAACAGCCAUCAAUCCCGGUAUCCCUGCAUCUGAAAUUCUGAUUCCAGUUGCUGCAAUUGAUCGAAAUACAAUGGAAGUUCUGGGAGCAGCCUGCUGCUGGUGCGGGUCUGUUGACGGUUAAGCUUGUCCAUAUAUAACUUGUUUUGUGCACUUUGUGAGUUUGUGACUGGGUUCAGAUUUCCAGUACACUUAUUUGUCGAAGCAAGGCUAGUUUUAGGAAAGGUUAGCGCCUUAUCAGCUAGCAUAGUGCUGCUAACUCCAUGGUGUUGAUAAAGCUCAAGAGUCAAGACCUAGUAGGAACAAGAAAACUGAAGAUGAAAUGUGAUGCCGGUCAAAGAGCAUGUAAACUGGAAAUGACUAAUACGUUGAAUCUGCUCUAGAUGGCUAUGUAUGAGCCAACGCUAGUACAUCACAUUCAGAGUAAAAUAAGAACAUCGUGUAUAAUCCGUCCCAUCCAUACAAUGAUACAUCACAUCAUACAUGCAUAAUGGUAUGUGUGCAUUACCUUGCAGCCUAACGUAAACCAUGUAUGUUAAACCCUGCAACAGCCUCACGUGAGAGAAAAAGAACAAGGCGUAGCCAAGGACAACUUGCCGGAGAACAGGCAGGCUUGUAACAGGGUGCAUAUGCUGCCUUGUAACAUAUGCAUGCACAUAUCCGGCAAGUCAUCCUUGGCUGCAUUCUGCUCUCUUUCUCAUUUCACGUAGGGCCAUUGACAGUCACAACAAGCACUAAACUAAACAUCUCUAGGGUGUGCACCACAAGAAAGCCAAUGUAUGUAUGGCUUGCUGAGGCUUAGUGAUCUAUAUGAGCCUGCUACUUGAUACAUGUGAGGCUCAGUGAUCUAUAUGAAACGAUGCUUGUGUUCUGUAUGACUUGCUGAGAGGCUUCUAUCUUGCUAUAUAUAGACUUCCAAAAGUAUUUGAUGGAGAUCUGAUUUCCUCUUUUGUCAUGAACUUUGUCAAAAUAGAUGCCUUUUUAUAUUUUAUUGAGAUGUUAGGUCUGAUAUGGCUAGAUAUUUUGACAAUUUACACAGAUCAGUGAAGUUUACUUGUUAAUGCACAACAGCACUAGAUACCUAUAUCAUCAUGCUAUAGGUAUGCACAACAGCACUAGUUAAUUUCACUUCAAUUUUCUCCAGGUGGUUAUUUCUGUAGGUUUUGAAGUUAUUUCUUGUAAUCAUAUCUGAAGGUACAGGAAAGGUUAAGAGGAAUUUAGGACUAAUUGAGUUGAGUUUUUAUUAUGCCUAAAGUUAAUAGUGAUUUGUAAUUACAUGAAACGCAAAAGCAUUUGCAAUAAUGUAAAAAAAUAAUUUUAAAUAGUUUAUAAAUACUACUAGUAGGGAGUAGGAAGCCAGUACAAGCAAAUAAUAGUAAAUUUUAACAAUAUAUCAGAAACGUCUACCUGUCUACCUCUUAUCACAUUUUCAAACCGAAAGAAUAGGCAGCACUAUAGUAAGAUUUUCUUGACCGAAAGCUGUAUACUAAGAUUUGAUGCUCCCCUCCUUCCAAUGCGUGUCGUGUCCUGAUUUGUCAAUAGUUUGUGGUAGUUAUCCCUAUUUUUUCUGUCACUGAUUUAUGAUUCAUGAUUGGGUAUUUAUGUCACCAAGCGAUUGGUUGAGUGGCUAUGAGAGUUUAUAUCCUUUUCCCUUUCCAAAUUUUGAAUUAAAAUCUGUCUCCUGGAGAGAACAUUCCUUCAUCCCUGGAUCCACCAUCCAUGAUGUGGUGGGGGAAAUCAUUACAGGUAUGACUUUAGAGGAUAUAAUAUGAUAUGCAAGAUGCCUUUGACCUAAUUCAGACAAGAGAAGGCAUAGCAUUGCCAUGAAUCAUUACAGGUUGUCAAAUAAUGGAAGGUAUGGUACUUGCAAGAUGCCCCAUUAGAUUGUAAUUGGACCACAUGACCAGAACAAAUUCUGUGUCCUAGAAUGGCAAUUUGACACGUCUGAGCAAUGCCAUACCUUUUUUCUUUCAAGGAGAGGGACAGGGAGGGAGAAAGAGAAUAAUAUUAUCAUGUCCUUUUGCUGGGGAAAAAGGUGCUGUGGCUGGUGGCCCUUGGUUUCUGAAGAGGCAAUUAACUUUCCUUUUGAGAAUUUUAUUCGGUCAACCCUUUUUGUAUGGUUCCUGUCAUUCUCAUUUUUCUAUUACCCUCAUGAGUUUUUAGGUCUUAGGAAGUGUUCUGAAUUACAUUCUUGAAGUACACUAAAUACAGGGAAAUGAUGAUCUGUCUACAAAUGUUCCUGUUCUAUGAAACAUCAUAACAUACGAAAUCCUCAUUUUUCAGUUUUCCAGAUGCCUGGAACUUUUAUGAGAUGUAUGUAGAAGUGACAAUGCCUGAAGGUUUAGAAUCACAGAAGAAUCUCACUAGUUAUGCAUUUUACCAUCAUGAUGUACAUGUACAGUUGUAGUCCCAGCAAAAAGUAGUGAAUACAUGCUUCAAUCUA
This is a long non-coding RNA of Sorghum bicolor (sorghum), 2899 nucleotides long. RefSeq lists it as uncharacterized. The transcript has 2 exons. NCBI's taxonomy places the organism in Eukaryota, Viridiplantae, Streptophyta, Magnoliopsida, Poales, Poaceae. The record is from RefSeq and is a predicted model, not a curated record.